GGUUCGGUAGCUCAGAAGGAUAGAGCACUAGCCUGUCACGCUAGGGGUCGUGGGUUCAAUUCCCAUCCGAAUCG
RNAcentral lists this transfer RNA (74 nucleotides) under Caudoviricetes sp. Its description in RNAcentral is "tRNA-Asp". It matches the Rfam family "tRNA". From Rfam's summary of the family: Transfer RNA (tRNA) molecules are approximately 80 nucleotides in length. Their secondary structure includes four short double-helical elements and three loops (D, anti-codon, and T loops). The record is from RNAcentral. Lineage: Duplodnaviria; Heunggongvirae; Uroviricota; Caudoviricetes.